This 31-nucleotide non-coding RNA is filed under the name Rattus norvegicus (Norway rat). The record is from RNAcentral. Lineage: Eukaryota; Metazoa; Chordata; Mammalia; Rodentia; Muridae.
UGCAAUUGGCGAAACCAUGCGUCUGCUGAGA